AUGUCCGUCUGUUUCCCCAUGAGUAGUACAACUCUAUCUAUCUGCUCGUGGAAUGUAAGAGGCCUAGGCGACGAAUCUAAGUAUGGUAAUAUCCUUUCCGAACUAAUCAGUAUCAACCCCCACUGUGCACUCUUACAAGAGUCUAAGUUAAAUGACAUUAACGACCGAAAAUUCAACUCCUUCCUGCCACGAUCUCUUGACCAAAGAAAUUUCCUACCUGCGAACGGUUCGGCCGGCGGAAUGAUUUCCGCCUUUAAUACAAACUAUUUCUCCCUAAUCUCCUACUCCCACCAUACGUACACCACAUCCAUCAAACUCACGUCGCUCGCUCACCCCCUCCCCUUUGUCAUCACAAACAUUUAUGCCCCCUCGAAUCGCAAACUCAAACAGGCAUUCCUAGAUGAGCUCAAUCUAAUUAAGGAGGAUGACCAAACUCCCUGGCUAAUUGUAGGAGAUUUCAACCUCAUCCGCUUCUCCCACGAAAAAAAUAAAAGCAGCUUCCUCCAACGGGAAGCUGACGCCUUCAACUCCACGAUCAACGCACUAGCACUAAUCGAACUACCCCUGCUAGACACACGCUUUACCUGGUCCAACAAACGAGCUUCACCAACCCUCGAACGACUAGACCGAGCUUUCUUCAAUCUGGCUUGGAACAAUGUCUUCCCCAAUACAACUCUCUCAUCUUUGCCACGAAUUACAUCUGAUCACGUUCCCCUAAUUCUAAAUAUCCAAACAACUGUCCCAAAGACACGCCACUUUAGAUUCGAAUCAGCUUGGACUCUAUCCACUGCUUGCCAGCAAAUAAUACAAAAAUGUUGGGCCCCAAACCACCGCUCGACCCAGCAACUAACAUCCGCCGCUGCCCUUGCAAAAGCUCUAAAAAGAACAAGAUAUGACCUAAAAAAUUGGGCCUCCAAGCGAUCGCCAGCACACCUUCGCGAGGCGGCUGCAAAACAAAUCAUUAAUCUCAUCGAUCUAAAGGAGGAGGCUCGAACUCUCUCCAAUGCCGAAAAAAGACUACGUUUUGUUGUCUUCGAUACCCUGCACUCAGCUAUUGCUGAAAAAAUAGCCUUCUGGAAACAAAGAGGUAAAGUACGUGCUGCAAUUGAUGGGGAGGAAAACACACAAUAUUUUCAUGCUGCCGCGUCACAGCGUCUCCGCAAGAAUACUAUAACUUCCCUACUAACUGAUGGAACUGAAUUCCACUCUCAUGCUCAAAAAGCGACCAUUCUCAAAGAUCAUUUCACAGCACUUAUAGGUUCAGCACCACACACCUAUUGGCCCUUCGAUCCUAAAAAGUACUACCCACAAACGUUACCACAGCUUAACUCGCUGGACUCCCCCUUCACACUAGAUGAAAUUAAAAAUGCGUUCCUCCAAAUGAACCCCCUAGCUAGCCCAGGACCGGAUGGCUUCGGCCCGCUGUUCUACAAAAAAUACUGGAACCUGGUUAAGGCUCACAUCCACUCCUUCAUGACGGACUUCCAAAACCUUAACGCCCAAACUGAAAGCCUUAACAGAGCUCACCUCAUUCUACUACCCAAAAAAGAUCAUGCCAACACUCCCGACGCAUACCGCCCGAUCUCCCUCCAAAAUUGUCCCAUCAAAGCCGUUGCGAAAGUGCUUACCAACAGACUAAAACCAAUAAUACCACUGCUUGUCCAUGGCAACCAAACUGGGUUCAUCCCAGGGCGUAGCAUAGCCGAAAACUUUAUCUUCGCUGCAGACCUCAUAGGCGCAUGCCAUACUAGAAAAGCCCCAACCAUGGUCAUUAAAUUGGACUUUAGCAAAGCCUUCGACUCCCUCUCUUGGGACUCUCUUACUUCCAUCUUACGCUGCCGCGGCUUCCCGCCAAAAUUCUCAUCAUGGGUUCAUGACCUCCUAGCAACCGGGAAAACUGCCGUCAUGUUGAAUGGGAUCCCCAGAAACUGGAUAAAUUGCAAAAAUGGGCUCAGGCAGGGUGACCCUAUCUUGCCCUACCUCUUCAUCAUCGUUGCCGAUCUCCUACAACAAAUGAUCCAGCAAGACUGCGAUCUAGCUCACCUCAGUCACCCCCUGUUCUCACAUCUCCCGCCAACCGUCUUACAAUAUGCCGAUGACACCCUCAUCAUCGCCAAGGCAUCCAAUCCCGCUGCUCAACAGUUAAAAUACAUCCUUCACGAUUUCGCCAUGGCCACUGGCCUCACUAUCAACUUCACAAAAACAACGUUCGUACCCAUGCACAUCAGCACUGCCAUGGGAGACUCCAUUGCCUCCACCUUGCACUGCCCAACCUCAAGCUUUCCGCAGAUCUACCUAGGCCUUCCCCUAACACCCACACGACUACCUACAAAUGCCUUCCUACCGAUCAUCGAACGUUGCCGUAAAUUCUUGACGGGCUGGCGCGCAAAAAUCCUCUCCAAAGGGGAUAGGCUCAUCCUAUUAUCGGCUGUCCUCGACUCCCUUCUAGUCUACUUCAUGUCAGUCUUCCCCAUUCCCAAGAGUGUUCUAAAAACCCUAGACUCUAUUCGACGAGCCUUCUUUUGGGCUGCGGAGGAAACUUGCACUGGUGCUCAAUGCUUAGUUGCCUGGAAAAAUGUGUGUAAACCAAAGAACUGUGGUGGUCUAGGCCUAAAAAAUCUUCAUCAGCAAAACAAAUGCCUACUUAUGAAAUUUGCUGUAAAAGCUCUCUUACCAGACACAACACCUUGGUUAGACUGGAUCGCCUUACAACACCCAAAUGCCCUCAUUGCUCCACAAAAUAGUCACUCCUUUAUUUGUCGAACAAUAAAUCAACAGCUGCCAGCACUUCAUGCCAUCUCUUUUGUACUCACAAACUCUGGCACUAAUACGUACUUCUGGCUUGAUACGUGGAUACACAACCAACCCCUUGCUACUCUAUUCCCCUGCCUAUAUUCACACACCACUAUACCACUAGCUCGUGUGGCUGCUGUCCUGAAUCACGGUUUGGAAACAAUCCUCCGGAACCGCCUAACAUCUGAUGCUGCUACCGAGUUGUGCGUUUUGUUGUCUCUCUUGCAGGAUUUCCGGUUGUCGACAGGACCGGACGAGCGCUACCUCAACGGUGGCUUAUGCUUCUCCACGAGGGCAGCAUAUGCGCUAACCAUGGGCUCCCACGAUGACGACCACGACGUGCAUGCCGUUGCCAUCUGGUCUUCACGCGUUCCAAAUCGCGUUAAGAUCUUUGCAUGGCCCCUGUUUCGGGAUUGA
RNAcentral lists this ribosomal RNA (3210 nucleotides) under Triticum aestivum (bread wheat). Its description in RNAcentral is "partial small subunit ribosomal RNA". The record is from RNAcentral. Lineage: Eukaryota; Viridiplantae; Streptophyta; Magnoliopsida; Poales; Poaceae.